Molecule: transfer RNA, 67 nt
Filed under: Cartodere nodifer
Lineage: Eukaryota; Metazoa; Arthropoda; Insecta; Coleoptera; Latridiidae
Also listed under: 1 other name
Description: tRNA-Ser
Source: RNAcentral
GAAAUAAAAGAUCAAAGAAUAAGCUUCUAACUUAAUUCUAAAGCAGUGAAACUCUGUUUAUAUUUCU